This 1447-nucleotide long non-coding RNA is filed under the name Marmota monax (woodchuck). Lineage: Eukaryota; Metazoa; Chordata; Mammalia; Rodentia; Sciuridae. The record is from RNAcentral.
CUCUGAGUCAAGUCACACUUGGAGAGACAUGAUCCAGGCGUGUGGGUGAGCUACUGCUGGAUGGAGAAGUUGGUCUACAGCUGCAGGGAAUCAAAAUUGCUAUCAGCAGAGUUUCCCCACACUUGAGGGAGGCCUGAGGGAACACUCAGUGUGAUAAUGAACAGCUGCCUAGUGUGCCACUUGCUAGUGAUAGGGGGUCAGUAAAGAUGUGUUAGUGUUUGAGUUUUCAGAAGUUGUAAUAAGGAACAAGCCACAGAGAUUUCCUAUGAAGAGGCUCCCCAGCCUUAGCACCGUUGAUAACUUUGGAUUGGGCAAAUGUGGUCAGUGUAUGUGUGUCAGAGGAUGUUUUCCACCUGCUCUGUGGAGGUCAGGAGUAACACUCCUCCCUCAAGUUGUGACAACCCAACCAUUGCUAAAUGUUCCCUGGGAGGGAACACCGUACCCCAUUGAGAGCCACUGCUAUAAGCUAAUUUUCCUCCAUUUACAUGGACCUAGGUCAUCUUAGAAUUAUGUUUCCUUCCUUCAACAUUUUUAACAAGCAAUUACAUCUUGUUGUCUAACACACCAAACCAGACCUCCAUUUCUGUUCACCUGCUCCUUGGGAUUGCUUCAUGAAACUGCCCCCAGACUUAAAGGGCCAAUAAAGUUACUUGCUGAACAGUGUCCAGUCCUUCCCUUUGUCUUUUGUUAGAAAGGCAAAAGAUGAAUAAGUUGGAUAUAAAAGCCAGCUGAUUUAUGCUUUUCUUUUUUCCUGGGAGAGGGAUUCUGCAUUAAUUCAUUGGAAAAAUGAGUUAGUGCCUUUUGUACAAGGAAUAGUGUCAAGGUCUGUGCUGAGAAGAUAUUUCAGCCUGACUGUGACACAGUGGAUAAGAUGUGAUAUAUUUUGCCUCAAUAUCAAUGAUUUUGUCAUCCUCAUUAAAUGAACCUGUUGAUGGUGCUUACCUGGAUGACAAUGAGCUAUUGUUCCCCAAGAUCUCUGUAGAAUGUGCGGGUGUACCUGGGUGCUAAAUUGCCCUGUCAGGCUGGCUCUUGGGGCUCUCAUAUCACUACAUGCCACACUUUUAUUGAGUUUGUCAUCAAAGCAGUGGGCUGUUGGGUUGUUAUUCAUCCAACUUCCGUUUCCUUCUCGUUAUUCUUUUAUAAGACUUCACAAUGGAGUGGUGCUUAUCUAAAUAACUUAUGCUUGGAUUUCUUUUCCAUAUGUAUUACUUGCUCAUUGGAGGGACACCCAUCCUGUGUUGGUUUUAUAGGCUAGGAUGGGAUAUUUAAUAUUUAAUAUCUUAUGACCAACUUAUUCACUAAAACAUAUUUAAAAUUUUGAUUUAUUCGCCAUGUCUUUAAAUAGUGUGUGGAUGGACUGAGAUCUCUAGUUUACUAUGGACACCCUAUAUUUUUAUUGGUCUAUUGGAGACUUGAUAUUUUUCAAGGAGAAGGUGUCUGUUUUCUU